Molecule: ribosomal RNA, 440 nt
Filed under: uncultured bacterium
Lineage: Bacteria
Description: partial 16S ribosomal RNA
Rfam family: Bacterial small subunit ribosomal RNA
Source: RNAcentral
CCUACGGGGGGCAGCAGUGGGGAAUCUUGCACAAUGGGGGAAACCCUGAUGCAGCGACGCCGCGUGAGUGAAGCAGUAUUUCGGUACGUAAAGCUCUAUCAGCAGGGAAGAAAAUGACGGUACCUGACUAAGAAGCCCCGGCUAACUACGUGCCAGCAGCCGCGGUAAUACGUAGGGGGCAAGCGUUAUCCGGAUUUACGUGGUGUAAAGGGAGCGUAGACGGCAGCGCAAGUCUGGAGUGAAAUCCCAUGGCUUAACCAUGGAACUGCUUUGGAAACUGUGCAGCUAGAGUGCAGGAGAGGUAAGCGGGAUGCCUAGUGUAGCGGUGAAAUGCGUAGAUAUUAGGAGGAACACCAGUGGCGAAGGCGGCUUACUGGACUGUAACUGACGUUGAGGCUCGAAAGCGUGGGGAGCAAACAGGAUUAGAUACCCGUGUAGUC